This 187-nucleotide unclassified non-coding RNA is filed under the name soil metagenome. RNAcentral describes it as "partial internal transcribed spacer 1". The record is from RNAcentral.
CAGAGUUGCAAAACUCCCACAAACCAUCGCGAAUCUUACCCGUACGGUUGCCUCGGCGCUGGCGGUCCGGAAGGCCCUCGGGCCCCCCGGAUCCUCGGGUCUCCCGCUCGCGGGAGGCUGCCCGCCGGAGUGCCGAACCAAACUCUUGAUAUUUUAUGUCUCUCUGAGUAAACUUUUAAAUAAGUCA